Molecule: long non-coding RNA, 264 nt
Filed under: Lathyrus oleraceus (garden pea)
Lineage: Eukaryota; Viridiplantae; Streptophyta; Magnoliopsida; Fabales; Fabaceae
Description: Pisum sativum (pea) long non-coding RNA (PSAT_LNC011230)
Source: RNAcentral
UUCGGCUCACGCACGCCAAACAACACACGCACCCAAACAGGCAAACAUGGAGCCUGAAUGCCAAUCACUGGGCUUACAUCAGCAUCCGAACCAAAACACACGUACACUGGAACCCAGAUGCCACUUGAUGGACUUACACCGGCUUCCAAGCACACAACAAGCACAAUCAAACAUAAUCAGGAUACGGACAGCCAAUCGCUGGGCUUACAUCCAUAUCCUGACACACAAGCUUUAACAAGCAAACACACACAAAAAGGAAAAAAA